This 553-nucleotide ribosomal RNA is filed under the name uncultured bacterium. Its description in RNAcentral is "bacterial SSU rRNA". It matches the Rfam family "Bacterial small subunit ribosomal RNA", at positions 32 to 631 of the family's 1533-position model. The record is from RNAcentral.
AACGCUGGCGGCAGGCUUAACACAUGCAAGUCGAACGCCCGAGCAAUCGGGAGUGGCAGACGGGUGAGUAACACGUGGGAACAUACCCUUCGGUUCGGAACAACGUUUGGAAACGAACGCUAAUACCGGAUACGGCUUGAGGGCGAAAGAUUCAUCGCCGAAGGAUUGGCCCGCGUUCGAUUAGCUAGAUGGCGGGGUAACGGCCCACCAUGGCGACGAUCGAUAGCUGGUCUGAGAGGAUGGCCAGCCACAUUGGGACUGAGACACGGCCCAAACUCCUACGGGAGGCAGCAGUGGGGAAUAUUGGACAAUGGGCGCAAGCCUGAUCCAGCCAUGCCGCGUGAGUGAUGACGGCCUUAGGGUUGUAAAGCUCUUUCGCACGCGACGAUAAUGACGGUAGCGUGAGAAGAAGCCCCGGCUAACUUCGUGCCAGCAGCCGCGGUAAUACGAAGGGGGCUAGCGUUGUUCGGAAUCACUGGGCGUAAAGGGUGCGUAGGCGGAUUCUUAAGUCAGGGGUGAAAUCCCGAGGCUCAACCUCGGAACUGCCUUUGAU